This 71-nucleotide transfer RNA is filed under the name Loxodonta africana (African savanna elephant). It matches the Rfam family "tRNA". From Rfam's summary of the family: Transfer RNA (tRNA) molecules are approximately 80 nucleotides in length. Their secondary structure includes four short double-helical elements and three loops (D, anti-codon, and T loops). Lineage: Eukaryota; Metazoa; Chordata; Mammalia; Proboscidea; Elephantidae. The record is from Rfam by way of RNAcentral.
GCAAUGGUGGUUCAGUGAUAGAAUUCUCACCUUCCACGUGGGAGAUAAGGGUUUGAUUCCUGGCCAGUGCA